Molecule: ribosomal RNA, 305 nt
Filed under: uncultured bacterium
Lineage: Bacteria
Description: bacterial SSU rRNA
Rfam family: Bacterial small subunit ribosomal RNA
Source: RNAcentral
CCUCGGGAGGCAGCAGUGGGGGAUAUUGCACAAUGGGGGGAACCCUGAUGCAGCGACGCCGCGUGGGUGAAGAAGCGCCUCGGCGCGUAAAGCCCUGUCAGCCGGGAAGAAAAUGACGGUACCCAAAGAGGAAGCUCCGGCUAACUACGUGCCAGCAGCCGCGGUAAUACGUAGGGAGCGAGCGUUGUCCGGAAUUACUGGGUGUAAAGGGAGCGUAGGCGGGCGAGAAAGUUGAAUGUUAAAUCUACCGGCUUAACUGGUAGCUGCGUUCAAAACUUCUUGUCUUGAGUGAAGUAGAGGCAGGG